UACGAGGAGCCGACGUUGUUCGGAUUAUGGCGUAAAGCGUACGCAGGCGGCGCGUUAAGACAGGUGUGAAAGCCCCGAGCUUAACUUGGGAAUUGCGCUUGUGACUGGCGUGCUGGAGUGUGGCAGAGGGAGGUGGAAUUCCACGUGUAGCAGUGAAAUGCGUAGAGAUGAUGGAGGAACACCGAUGGCGAAGGCAGCCUCCUGGGCCAGCACUGACGCUCAUGCACGAAAGCGUGGGGAGCAAACAGGA
RNAcentral lists this ribosomal RNA (250 nucleotides) under uncultured bacterium. RNAcentral's name for it is "partial 16S ribosomal RNA". It matches the Rfam family "Bacterial small subunit ribosomal RNA", at positions 526 to 777 of the family's 1533-position model. The record is from RNAcentral.